This 1771-nucleotide long non-coding RNA is filed under the name Glycine max (soybean). RNAcentral describes it as "long non-coding RNA (GMAX_LNC002941)". The record is from RNAcentral. Lineage: Eukaryota; Viridiplantae; Streptophyta; Magnoliopsida; Fabales; Fabaceae.
UUUUAUGUUGUAACUGCUAGGAAUCCAUAAAUUUGAGCAUCGGAUUAAUGUUAUGAUUUAGUUUAUAAUUCUCUCAUAAACAUUGUAAUUUGGAAAUUUUAAUUCCGUCUCUGCCUCCACAUUCAGUUGUUUCAAACUGUAUCUCUUGACUCAAUUUUGUAAUUCCUUUCUCCAAAUUAAGUUGAUUAACUAUCUGGUUGCAAUUCUCACUUAUGGAGGUGAAAUCGUUGCCCUCUGUUCCUCCUUUUCCAUGCCACAAAAUAUUGUGACGGCUAAUAAAAUAAAUUGUGCUCCUAAAGCAUCAUUCAAAAUUCCUAAAAAUGAAAAAUAGUAGUAAUAAGGAUGAAUUCAAGUAAAAUUUAAUAAAUGCGGAACAAUGCAUUGUAAGAAAUAGGACUGGAGAAAAUAAAGAAAAUACCCCUGAAGAACAUUACUCCAUGAGAUAAGGAAGAAUAAUGAGAGCAAUUUCCACGAGCUAAGGUAAAAGAAGUAAUCUAAACAAUAACUGUAAAGUAAUUUAAAUUCACAAGACAAAUAAAUUUUAUUAUUGGAACAAAAUAUAUUCAAAAACUGCAUAAAAAUAUUUAUAUAGAACUCGUAGGUGUGCAUAUUUUCUAUAAUACUUAACUUUCUUUAAUCAAACUUCAAAAUCUACUCAUUGAGGUCUGGAUGAUAAAUCCUUAUUUUAUGUUGAGUCUGAAUGUUACAUUCAUCCUACAUAGUAAACUCGAUCUCAAAUCAUAUAUGCAUAAUUAAAGCUUACCAAGUUAACACCAUGUAGCUUGAUAUGAAUUUUCUAUACUAGGACAAGCAAAGAGAAAAAGCAAUUAAGAUUAAUAAUUUUAAAAUAUAAGCAUGAGUAAAUGUACCUGCAACAACAGAAGCACCAACCAACAUGGCAGAAGCAGGGGAGCCAUAUCAAACCCACUAGUCUGGUUGUUGCAAUGAAAUCAAAUUAGUUACAAACAAUGGAUGCUACUUUCCAAGCCAAGAACAUUUAUUAAUCAAUAGUUCAAAGUAAAACUCAACCACAUCUAACACAAUUCUUAAAACAUAUUCACUUUGAGUCAACAAUUAAAUGUAAAUCAGAUCAUUGAAUAUUGCCUGGUUUGCAGACAAUGUGAACCAUAAACUUAACCGAAUCCAUGCAAUUUGAAUUCAAAACACAAAUAGCAAGAAUCUACUUAAAAAAGCAUAAACACGAAGCUGAUUGUUAUACAGGAAUAAAUUUGAAUAUGCGAAUGAGGAAUUAUCGUUGAGGAAGAAGUAAUGCUUCCGAGAGAACCAAAGUCAUCUUACUAAAAAGAUGAUACAUGAUUAUUUUCAUAGUUGCCUCUGCAAAAUCAAUUUAUCAGAUACAUGAAAACCAAAGAAUAAUUAAUGCAUGUGAUAUACCAAAUUACCAUGCUUAGGGUUCCACUCAACGGUUCUUCGAUGACAAAUUCUAAUCCAUUGGUCUAAAAAAAACCCUAACAAACUAACAUUUAAAAAAAACAAUAAGCGAUUCCAUGCUAGUACCAUCUCCAGUGUUUGCUUCACAUUCAAAAGCACCUCUCACAUCGAACACGCCAAUCACGGAAAUCUAUCUUACUAAAUUUAAAUUUGGCAUUACUGACGAACAACUGAAAUGAGGAGAAGAAAGAAAUCAAGAACUGAAACUUUAGUUUGGCAGUGCGAUUUGGUCAUUUUUGGAUUUCUAACAGAGUCAAAGACUGAAGAGAGAAGAAGAAAGAAAACUUAAUUUAUCCAUCGGGUCCGACUUAGAAGAAUG